Molecule: ribosomal RNA, 270 nt
Filed under: uncultured prokaryote
Description: partial 16S ribosomal RNA
Rfam family: Bacterial small subunit ribosomal RNA
Source: RNAcentral
UACGUAGGGUGCGAGCGUUGUCCGGAAUUACUGGGCGUAAAGAGCUCGUAGGUGGUUUGUCACGUCGUCUGUGAAAUUCCGGGGCUUAACCUCGGGCGUGCAGGCGAUACGGGCAAUACUUGAGUGCUGUAGGGGAGACUGGAAUUCCUGGUGUAGCGGUGAAAUGCGCAGAUAUCAGGAGGAACACCAAUGGCGAAGGCAGGUCUCUGGGCAGUUACUGACGCUGAGGAGCGAAAGCACGGGUAGCGAACAGGAUUAGAUACCCCCGUA